GACGAACGCUGGCGGCGUGCUUAACACAUGCAAGUCGAACGGUGAAGCCUUCGGGUGGAUCAGUGGCGAACGGGUGAGUAACACGUGAGCAAUCUGCCCUCGACUCUGGGAUAACUUCGGGAAACCGGAGCUAAUACCGGAUAUGACAUCUGGCCGCAUGGUCUGGGUGUGGAAAGAUUUAUCGGUCAAGGAUGAGCUCGCGGCCUAUCAGCUUGUUGGUGGGAAUGGCCACCAAGCGACGACGGGUAGCCGGCCUGAGAGGGCGACCGGCCGACACUGGGACUGAGACACGGCCCAGACUCCUACGGGAGGGCAGCAGUGGGGAAGUAUUGCGCAAUGGGCGGGAAGCCUGACGCAGCGACGCCGCGUGAGGGAUGAAGGCCUCGGUCGUAACUAC
Molecule: ribosomal RNA, 397 nt
Filed under: uncultured bacterium
Lineage: Bacteria
Description: bacterial SSU rRNA
Rfam family: Bacterial small subunit ribosomal RNA
Source: RNAcentral